UUGGUUUUCAAUCUACAUCCUAGUUUAUUAAUAACAAAUGAACGAGCACGAUUUCUGAUUCAUUUAAUUAUUGUACAUAAAUAUUUUUUUAUGAAAAAAAUAAUAUUGAUCGCAACCCGUUAUAGACUGGCCCACCGUACGCACGGACAAUUGAACACACUUCCUUAUUGUAGGGCUUGCGUCAUCCUCCGGGUAACGCCCCCCCGGCCCCGCACCCCGCUCACACCCCGCGGGACUCCUCAAGACCAUCUCUACCAUCCGAUGAAGCAGCCUGUCGUCGCUGUGAAAAUAUUCGCGGAAGUGUAACUCAUCGGGUUUCAAGCUCUUCAGAAUAAGCAUAUGGCUUUGCGAAUAAAAAUGGUGUUGAUUUGUGUGAUGAUUAA
Molecule: long non-coding RNA, 383 nt
Organism: Helicoverpa zea (corn earworm)
Lineage: Eukaryota; Metazoa; Arthropoda; Insecta; Lepidoptera; Noctuidae
Exons: 2
Source: RefSeq, a predicted model, not a curated record